RNAcentral lists this ribosomal RNA (473 nucleotides) under uncultured bacterium. Its description in RNAcentral is "bacterial SSU rRNA". It matches the Rfam family "Bacterial small subunit ribosomal RNA", at positions 26 to 518 of the family's 1533-position model. The record is from RNAcentral.
AGGACGAACGCUGGCGGCACGCUUAACACAUGCAAGUCGAACGGUGAAAGUAGCUUGCUACUGGAUCAGUGGCGGACGGGUGAGUAACACGUGAGCAAUCUGCCUCUAAGUGGGGAAUAACGUUUGGAAACGGACGGUAAUACCGCAUAAUAUACAUUGACCGCAUGAUCGGUGUAUCAAAGAUUUAUCGCUUAGAGAUGAGCUCGCGUCUGAUUAGAUAGUUGGUGAGGUAACGGCCCACCAAGUCGACGAUCAGUAGCCGGACUGAGAGGUUGAACGGCCACAUUGGGACUGAGACACGGCCCAGACCCCUACGGGAGGCAGCAGUGGGGAAUAUUGCACAAUGGGCGCAAGCCUGAUGCAGCGAUGCCGCGUGAGGGAAGAAGGUUUUCGGAUUGUAAACCUCUGUUGACAGGGACGAUAAUGACGGUACCUGUUCAGAAAGCUCCGGCUAACUACGUGCCAGCCGCCGC